RNAcentral lists this ribosomal RNA (440 nucleotides) under uncultured bacterium. RNAcentral describes it as "partial 16S ribosomal RNA". It matches the Rfam family "Bacterial small subunit ribosomal RNA", at positions 338 to 795 of the family's 1533-position model. The record is from RNAcentral.
CCUACGGGAGGCAGCAGUGGGGAAUAUUGCACAAUGGGGGAGACCCUGCUGCAGCGACGCCGCGUUAGUAAAGAAGUAUUUCGGUUUGUGAAGCUCUAUCAGCAGGGACGAAAAUAACGGUACCUAACUCAGAAGCCCCGGUUAACUACGUGCCAGCAGCAGCGGUAAGACGGAGGGGGCAAGCGGUAGCCUGAUUUACUGGGUGUAAAGGGGGCGUAGACGGCGCGGCAAGUCUGAAGGGAAAGGGAGGGGCUUAACCCGUGACGUGCUUUGGAAACUGGCAUGCUGGAGUGCUGGAGAGGUAAGUGGAAUGCGUAGUGUAGCGGUGAAAUGCGUAGAUAUUAGGAGGAACACCAGUGGCGAAGGCGGCUUACUGGACCGUAACUGACGUUGAGGCUCGAAAGCGUGGGGAGCAAACAGGAUUAGAUACCCGGGUAGUC